GACGAACGCUGGCGGCGUGCCUAAUACAUGCAAGUAGGACGCACAGUCUAUACCGUAGCUUGCUACACCAUAGGCUGUGAGUUGCGAACGGGUGAGUAACGCGUAGGUAACCUGCCUAUUAGAGGGGGAUAACUAUUGGAAACGAUAGCUAAUACCGCAUAACAGUAUGUAACACAUGUUAGAUGCUUGAAAGAUGCAAUUGCAUCGCUAGUAGAUGGACCUGCGUUGUAUUAGCUAGUAGGUAGGGUAAUGGCCUACCUAGGCGACGAUACAUAGCCGACCUGAGAGGGUGAUCGGCCACACUGGGACUGAGACACGGCCCAGACUCCUACGGGAGGCAGCAGUAGGGAAUCUUCGGCAAUGGGGGGAACCCUGACCGAGCAACGCCGCGUGAGUGAAGAAGGUUUUCGGAUCGUAAAGCUCUGUUGUUAAGGAAGAACGAGUGUGAGAAUGGAAAGUUCAUACUGUGACGGUACUUAACCAGAGAGGGACGGCUAACUACGUG
This 505-nucleotide ribosomal RNA is filed under the name uncultured bacterium. Its description in RNAcentral is "partial 16S ribosomal RNA". It matches the Rfam family "Bacterial small subunit ribosomal RNA", at positions 28 to 507 of the family's 1533-position model. The record is from RNAcentral.